This is a long non-coding RNA of Pipra filicauda (Wire-tailed manakin), 298 nucleotides long. RefSeq lists it as uncharacterized. Lineage: Eukaryota; Metazoa; Chordata; Aves; Passeriformes; Pipridae. The record is from RefSeq and is a predicted model, not a curated record. The transcript is spliced from 2 exons.
GAGCUCUUGCCGGCGCUCUGCCCGCCCACCACCGCGAUCUGCGGCAGGUCGAGCAGGCAGUUCUGGCCCAGCGCCGCGAAGGCGUCCUGCAGCCGGUUGACGAGCGGGAUGAGCCCCUCCAUCCCGCCGCCGCCUCCUCCACCCGCCGCCGCUGACAGGAUGUGGCGUUAUGCAGCAUUUGGGAAGCACAACAGAAAGGCAGAACUGGACAAGGGAGGGAUGAAGGCAGCCUUUGUAUCAGCUCCUGGGGAAGAAAGGAGAUGGUUUUGGUAAAAUAAAGGGCAUACACACAAACCUA